This is a non-coding RNA of Pimephales promelas (fathead minnow), 2728 nucleotides long. NCBI's taxonomy places the organism in Eukaryota, Metazoa, Chordata, Actinopteri, Cypriniformes, Leuciscidae. The record is from RefSeq and is a predicted model, not a curated record.
ACCUUUUGAGACGAACCGAUGCUGGAUGAACCGAUUAGAUAGAAUGAAUCCAAUUUUCCAAAAGGAGGUGUGACCAUUUUAGGCUUUUUGAUUUAUUUAUUUUACAGUUUAUUCAAGAAUUUAUGAUAAAUAAAUUCGAACGCUACAAAACAGAGAGAAGAACCGUUUCGACGGGCGGCGGGCGCAUUUGAUCAUGAGAGAGAAAACAAACACUGUGGCUAGAAAAAAAACAAGCAGAUGGAGAUACAAGACUGUCCUCGGGGGACAUAAACGUCAGUUCCUGGAGAUUCCUCUUAACAGAUACCAUGAAAACGUUGACCCAAUACAGAUGACAUAAAAUCUGCUUACAGCAGGUCAAAACAUCUUUUUUCAACUUACCUGAAGGAGGAGGAAAAGUCAAUUGUUCAAUGCCAUGUUUUAUGGGUUUAUUCAUCUUACCAAGUUUGACCGUCAUCCUUCCAAGGUCAACUGGGAAGCUUUAUAGAGGAGCUGGAUGUGCUGCUGUCCUCUUUACCUGAGGAUGGCAUCCCACUUGUAGUCUUUGACGACUUCAGCAUUCAUCUAGAGAAGCCGUAUGCUACAGACUUCACCUCUCUCUUAGCCUCCUUCGAUCUCAAAUGGCUCAUCACCACAGGUAUUCACAAGUCAGGCAACCAACUGGACCUGGUCUACACACGCAAUUGCAUCACAGACAAUAUCCUAGUGAAACCUCUCAACGUUUAGACCAUUUCCUCAUUACCUUCAGUCUUCAACUUACUACCCAUGCACCACCAAUUCCCCUACCAGUUACUUUCAGGCGAAACCUGUGCACACUUUCUCCAUCCCUUCUUUCCUCUGAUGUGUCAUCUUCUGUCAUCAUCCAAGCUUUAAUUCCUGCUAAGCUUAUAAUAAAUUUAGUAACAUUUAAAAGCUAUAAUAAAAGCUAUAAUGUGCAUUCCCACAGCCCCCCACACUUUUCAGAUGGCUCUUAUGCUCCUGGCUAGUCUGGUUUACAGAUAUAGAUGUUUUCCUGUUUCUUGCUGUGAAACAAGUAGAAGAGCUUCUGGCUGAUCUUUUUAAAACAGACACAUUGCUGACACACAGUAUAAAGAGGCCCACCAAGAGGGCCAAAAAAAGAGUACGGUAAAGUUCAUUGGGUUCGUCACGCACUAUUUUAGGAUCAAAAUAUUAACCAUAUUAUUUCCUUGUCUACUGUGGUGAAUUACAUAGGAGAGGGGUCCUCAUAAACACUGGUGGUUUAAGGAGCGUGUUCCUGGCACUAUCUCCAUCAGCUGCUGCCAGGAGAUAAUGUUGCCCUGUGAUUUAUGUGGUGCGAAAACUGAGGCUCCAGGGAGCGAAGAGCUAAACAAGUGGAAGCUUAAGGAGUAACUUAACAGAAGAUAAACACAUUAGAGGAUUAAUGUAACACCACACACACAAAAAGCACAAAAACACACACACAUACACACACAUGUCCUGGCUCAGAUGUUACCUCAUGCAUUUAGCAGUAUGUAUUCACUUGCUUCUUAAAUUGUUUUAAUUGUUGAUGUUGAACAACCUGUACAUUUUACAGUAAACCUGUAAUUUACAAACAAGAAAAUGUGCAACUUACAUAUACUUAGUAAUAUAUACAUAGUAACAUAUACUAUGCAAGUGUUAAAAGAGGAAGCCAUGAUGAAUCAUGAAGUAAGCCAUCAUGGUAAAACAUGACAUGCAAUAAUCAUUCAUUAAAUGUUAACAGCAUUCAUUCUGUUUAUAAACAGAGAUAAAACCCAAAUGUGCAUAACUGCUACACAAUUCUAAAUGUGCAAAGAAAUUAUUAGAACAAAAUACCCUGAAAUAUGAAGUGUCACAUAGAGAAUGCUGGGAAUGUCAGUUUACAGUUUUUCACUGUAAAUUAUAAUUUCAUUUGUUCUGCUUCACUUCUAAAAUCUCUUAACAGUAAAAUUACAUGAAACGUUUACAGUUUUGUAUGGUAAUACUUAACCUAUUAACAGUUUUUUUCCCCAUAGCGUUUUUACAAUAUUUUAGAGUUAAUUACAGUGUAAAGGCAAUCAUUUUUAUAUAUAAAGUACAACAAUAAUGAUCAAUUAAAUGGUCAUUGGCCUUUUCAAUGCCAUUAUUUUAAGUAAUUUAAAAUGUAUAUAUUAGGAAAUCCUUAUUUUGUAUUAUACAAACUUAUUGUAUUUUAACUCUGGCUUCUUAACUUUAUUAACAAACACCUUUCUUCUUUCGUUGUAUAAUUGGCAAAGGUUAUAGAAGAAUUUGUUUUAAAAAAAAUGGCUGUGCUGACAACAUAAAAAGUAUUUUAUUUCAUUUGAAGCCUGCAGUGCUUCAUGCUAACUGUACAUUGCUGUCCGAUAAAGAUGAGUAACGUGUCCUGCUGAAAUAUUAUCCAGAGUUGGGCAUAUGAAAUCAUAAGACACAGCGAUUUAACUCGACUUGACUGUGCAGUGUAAUGGAAUAUCUGUCAUGAGGCAUGUUUUGAUUAUCCAGCGGCGUGGUUUCGAUUUGAAAGAGACAUACCUUUUAGAAUAGCAUCUUCUGUAUCUGGAAUGUGUCUAGUGACAAAGUAGGAGCUCAACUGUUUUAGUAAAAAAAAAAAUGUUUAUGAUUUCUGCCACAGCAUAUUAUGGUCUGACCAAAGAACUGUGUUUAUAAAAGAUCAUUGUGAAUUUGGGAUUCUUUUUUGUUUAACCAGAAGCAUGUUUACAUUCAUAAACCCGGAAAAAAAAAAAAUCCUGUUCGG